GGUGUUGUCUGUGCUUGCAUUCCCAACGUUGACAUGAGGAAUUAUCAAUGGGUUCCGGACAUAAUCAGCCACACGGCAGAGUGAAUUCCAGGAGUGUAAAUAACAAGAGCUGCCUAUAAAUCUACCUCAGAAGACAAAGGGAAAAGCAAAACUCUGCCCAGGAAGACCUUACUUUACAAACCAGCUCAACCAUAUUUACCAGCCUUCCUGUGGUCAUUUGUCUGAGCUCCAGCUAGUGAAGUAUGAGUAGAACGGACAUGCACCACUUCCAGACCUGGCACCGGCAAACCCCCCAUGGCAACCCUCCAACCCUUUCCUCAACAACUGGACCACGCUGGAAAGGACUGAGGAUCUAGAGGAGGACAGGGCUGUAAUAUGGAAGGAGUUUGGUUUCUGAAGGACCAUGUAGCAGGCCACCUGCAGGGCGGGAACAUCUUUAAUAGGUUUGGAAUAGCAAGAAAUAAACUGGUCUUGUAUUAAACAACUAA
This 488-nucleotide long non-coding RNA is filed under the name Homo sapiens (human). RNAcentral's name for it is "non-protein coding LINC01350:10". The record is from RNAcentral. Lineage: Eukaryota; Metazoa; Chordata; Mammalia; Primates; Hominidae.